This 563-nucleotide long non-coding RNA is filed under the name Anser cygnoides (Swan goose). Its description in RNAcentral is "lncRNA (ENSACDG00005006401.1)". Lineage: Eukaryota; Metazoa; Chordata; Aves; Anseriformes; Anatidae. The record is from RNAcentral.
CCAUUGCAGCCACUGGGAACGGACCUGGAGGGCUGUAGCUUUAGUAGGGGCCCCUGGACUGCAUGCUGCGUGCAGUUGGCAUUCUUCACCUGUGCUUCUGAGGUAGCUCUUCCAGUUCUGUUUUGUCCAAAAGGAAUCCAGGCUGCGCAACUGGGGCCUGCUCUGUGAUGCAAAGUGCAGCACGAGCCUGUCAUACAGAAGUACCAUUUUACAGAGCACAGACACAGAGAGAAUUAAUGAUGUGCAUAAGUCUGCGUAAGGAAAUAUGUUACAGAACUGAUCUUGGGUUUUCUCAGCUUCCGAUGUUUAGCCACUGGACUGGCUCUCCUCGUGCUCCGCAGCACAGUUACAUUCCUUUGUGGCUGUGGCUCUUGGUCAUCCCAUCCAGCACUGCCAAGGAGGCUGCCACAGAUACAGCGAUCAGACACAUUCAAAAGAAGACGACCAUCCUGAUAGGAUAUAUCUCAUCCUACUUGAGCUGUCAGAAGGCUAGCGAUCCAGUCCAAGCGAAGUGUAUGGGCUCUCUUUCCCUCAUCAGUAAACAAGGAUUCAUCAGUUUAUGA